UUGCGAAACAGACCAGGCAGGGGUUUGAUGUUGGAGAAUCAAAGACAGAAUGGAAAAAUCUUUCCUUAGUUGUCAAUUUUCUCUAACUCUAAAGGCACAACCAAGAUUCGAGCCGACGGAGAAAAAGAAGCCUCACAACGGAUCGAGUGGUUUAUUCCACCGGAUGGCAGUAGUACACCAUGUGGAAAACUAUCUAAGAAGAAGUUAAGCGGAGAAGUGUACAUGUGUAUCGAGAGAAUAGGAAGAGAAGGGGUGACUCUUUGGUUUCUCGGGUGGAAGAGAAGAAAUUCUGACAUCUUGCUCGGAGACUGUGGAAAACAAGUUAUUUUCUGUUGAUGUACAAUUCAAAAGAUUUUUAAAACUGUGGUCCCAUUCAAUCUACGGACCACCACUCUACCACUGUUCAGUCUUCAAAAUCAAAUAAAA
This is a long non-coding RNA of Oncorhynchus nerka (sockeye salmon), 426 nucleotides long. RefSeq lists it as uncharacterized. The transcript is spliced from 3 exons. The record is from RefSeq and is a predicted model, not a curated record. Lineage: Eukaryota; Metazoa; Chordata; Actinopteri; Salmoniformes; Salmonidae.